GACGAACGCUGGCGGCGUGCUUAACACAUGCAAGUCGAACGGAAAGACCCUGCUUUUGUGGGGUGCUCGAGUGGCGAACGGGUGAGUAACACGUGAGUAACCUGCCCUUGACUUUGGGAUAACUUCAGGAAACUGGGGCUAAUACCGGAUAGGAGCUCCUGCUGCAUGGUGGGGGUUGGAAAGUUUCGGCGGUUGGGGAUGGACGCGCGGCUUAUCAGCUUGUUGGUGGGGUAGUGGCUUACCAAGGCUUUGACGGGUGGCCGGCCUGAGAGGGGGACCGGCCACAUUGGGACUGAGAUACGGCCCAGACUCCUACGGGAGGCAGAAGUGGGGAAUAUUGCACAAUGGGCGGAAGCCUGAUGCAGCAACGCCGCGUGCGGGAUGACGGCCUUCGGGUUGUAAACCGCUUUCGCCUGUGACGAAGCGUGAGUGACGGUAAUGGGUAAAGAAGCACCGGCUAACUACGUG
This 468-nucleotide ribosomal RNA is filed under the name uncultured bacterium. RNAcentral's name for it is "partial 16S ribosomal RNA". It matches the Rfam family "Bacterial small subunit ribosomal RNA", at positions 28 to 507 of the family's 1533-position model. The record is from RNAcentral.